AUACGGAAGGUCCGGGCGUUAUCCGGAUUUAUUGGGUUUAAAGGGAGCGCAGGCGGGUUGUUAAGCGUGACGUGAAAUGUAGCCGCUCAACGGCUGAAAUGCGUCGCGAACUGGCAGUAUUGAGUGAGUACGACGUCAGCGGAAUUCGUGGUGUAGCGGUGAAAUGCUUAGAUAUCACGAAGAACCCCGAUUGCGAAGGCAGCUGACGAGUCCUUUACUGACGCUAAAGCUCGAAGGUGCGGGUAUCGAACAGGAUUAGAUACCCUGGUAGUCCGCACGGUAAACGAUGGAUGCCCGCUGUAUGCGAUACAAUGUAUGCGGCCAAGCGAAAGCGUUAAGCAUCCCACCUGGGGAGUACGCCGGCAACGGUGAAACUCAAAUGAAUUGACGGGG
RNAcentral lists this ribosomal RNA (393 nucleotides) under uncultured bacterium. Its description in RNAcentral is "partial 16S ribosomal RNA". It matches the Rfam family "Bacterial small subunit ribosomal RNA", at positions 523 to 918 of the family's 1533-position model. The record is from RNAcentral.